Molecule: non-coding RNA, 62 nt
Filed under: Pseudomonas sp.
Lineage: Bacteria; Pseudomonadati; Pseudomonadota; Gammaproteobacteria; Pseudomonadales; Pseudomonadaceae
Also listed under: 1 other name
Description: Fluoride sequence
Rfam family: Fluoride riboswitch aptamer (crcB RNA motif)
Source: RNAcentral
UGGUGUACAGGAGAUGGUAUUUCUCCUUUAACUGCUCUUGGGGUAAUGAUGCCUAAGAACCC